Long non-coding RNA from Rosa rugosa (rugosa rose), 586 nucleotides. RefSeq lists it as uncharacterized. The record is from RefSeq and is a predicted model, not a curated record. The transcript has 2 exons. NCBI's taxonomy places the organism in Eukaryota, Viridiplantae, Streptophyta, Magnoliopsida, Rosales, Rosaceae.
AUUUAUUAUCCUCAUAUCUAUAUAAUUUCCUACGCAAAUGCAGGUUUUUGAUAUUGAAGUUGAUGAGUUUUGGUCUGUAGGGAUAAGUCAGUGGAACUAAGCUUCAUUACUAGAAAAGUAGAAAGAAAAUACUUUUGAUUCUAAUCUCGAAACCUAUGAGCAUGUUACAAUCAACGAAUCCACGAAUCUUUUAAGAUAGCAAAAAGUUUCAAUUCUGUUUGUUGCAAUAUAAGGUCUGUAGUUUUAAUAUGGUUAUGUAAAGCUUUAUCCUUCUUCUUUUUUUUUUCUUCUUUUUUUGGUAGGUUUUGGGAUUUGGUUUGUUCAUACCUAAGAAGAUAAACAAACUGUAAUUAACUAUUUCAAGGUGUCCAUGGAUUUGCAGAUGAGUCUUCAGUUGAAGAUGCAUUUGAGUCUGCCAAUGAAUUAGAUCAGUGGUAAAUCCCCAUUGUAGAAACUUGAUACCAGCUUGGUUAAAAUACCAGGUGUUUGCUUAAUCUUUCUCUUUACAACCUUGGUUAAAAUACCAGCUUUUGUAAUAUGUUUAUAACAUUUUGAAUUAAUUUUUCUUAGCUUAUAAUUGUGAUUA